This 222-nucleotide long non-coding RNA is filed under the name Homo sapiens (human). Its description in RNAcentral is "HSALNT0175798". Lineage: Eukaryota; Metazoa; Chordata; Mammalia; Primates; Hominidae. The record is from RNAcentral.
UAUCAGGGGAAUUACAGCGGGUGCUCAUCAAGUGGGAGUUCUCAGAAUUCUCUGACUGGCCGACUGCAGGUCAUAGACUGAGGUAUGGGUCUUACUUCUCUCACUCAGAUGUAAACCCACUGAGGACAAAACUCAUGGCUGAUUCAUCUCUAUCAAGCCUACUGCCUGGCAUGUGGAAUGUAUGAAUGAGUGAAUGAACGAGAAGAUGAACAAGGCAAAGCG